RNAcentral lists this RNase P RNA (459 nucleotides) under Cyanobacteria bacterium UBA11372. RNAcentral describes it as "RNase P RNA component class A". It matches the Rfam family "Bacterial RNase P class A". Rfam says of the family: Ribonuclease P (RNase P) is a ubiquitous endoribonuclease, found in archaea, bacteria and eukarya as well as chloroplasts and mitochondria. Its best characterised activity is the generation of mature 5'-ends of tRNAs by cleaving the 5'-leader elements of precursor-tRNAs. The record is from RNAcentral. Lineage: Bacteria; Bacillati; Cyanobacteriota.
GAGAGUAGGCGCAGGCGGUUGCGGACUGGCUUAGCGCCAGUCUGAGGAAAGUCCGGGCUCCCGAAAGACCAAACUUGCUGGGUAACGCCCAGUGCGAGCGAUCGCGAGGAUAGUGCCACAGAAAAAUACCGCCGGGAAUAGCUAAUGGCUAAUGGGUAAUCGAGAAUCGGCAAAAAACACCAAUUACCAAUUACCAAUUACCAAUUACCCAUUCCCGGUAAGGGUGCAAAGGUGUGUUAAGAGCGCACCAGCAGCGUCGAGAGGCGCUGGCUCGGUAAACCCCGGUUGGGAGCAAGGUCGGAGGAACAAAGGUUGGUCUUUUCCCCGUUCCGUUGUAGGGGCUUGCCCCUAAGAACCGCAAGAGGCGUCUGGUAACAGGCGUCCCAGAUAGAUAACCGCCCUUUUUGGCUGCACCGCAACCAAACAGAACAGAACCCGGCUUAUGUCCUACUCUCUCUU